UGCUGUGGCCUGAACUUUUGCAUAGGCUGACAUGAGUACAACCAAUGAAGGACAAUGCUCAGCCCUUGCUGUUGCCUGCCUUGAGAUGUUAAUAUAAGCUAGUAUGGAAGCCAAAGGCAGCUGGAGGAGGCAGCUGAGACAAUAGCUUCAGAAGGGCAGCUGGAGAUCAACUUUCUAAACUCAGGCAUGGAAAACUUGGAGUCCUUAAAGCAGAAUCCCACUGCAUGUGGGAUGCACAGUGAAAGAAGUUGCUGCUUCAGGUAAGGAAGAGUUUCAGGUUCAGAAGUGACCCAUUUGGAAGAGGGACAGAGAUGCUUCAGAUGCAGUUUUUUUUAAUCAUUAUUUUAUAAU
Molecule: long non-coding RNA, 351 nt
Organism: Pezoporus flaviventris
Lineage: Eukaryota; Metazoa; Chordata; Aves; Psittaciformes; Psittacidae
Exons: 3
Source: RefSeq, a predicted model, not a curated record